UACGUAGGGUGCAAGCGUUGUCCGGAAUUAUUGGGCGUAAAGAGCUAGUAGGCGGUCUGUCGCGUCUGCUGUGAAAACUCGGGGCUUAACCCCGGGCCUGCAGUGGGUACGGGCAGACUAGAGUGCGGUAGGGGAGACUGGAAUUCCUGGUGUAGCGGUGAAAUGCGCAGAUAUCAGGAGGAACACCGGUGGCGAAGGCGGGUCUCUGGGCCGUAACUGACGCUGAGGAGCGAAAGCAUGGGGAGCGAACAGG
This 253-nucleotide ribosomal RNA is filed under the name uncultured bacterium. Its description in RNAcentral is "partial 16S ribosomal RNA". It matches the Rfam family "Bacterial small subunit ribosomal RNA", at positions 524 to 776 of the family's 1533-position model. The record is from RNAcentral.